CUGAGUAUUGAGGUCUUUGUCUGCCCCCUUUCACAAGGGAGUAGCAAUACCUUUUUUUCUCUCCACCCUUUGUUAUUAUUUCAUUAGUUGCUUUGGUAACCGAUUACUUAUUGGUUACCAAGGGAGUUAUUAAACCUUCUUGAUUAUCUAAUAGUUGAUACCCUUCUGUCGUAGUUAUUACUUCAAUAGUAUAUA
RNAcentral lists this unclassified non-coding RNA (195 nucleotides) under uncultured Ascomycota. RNAcentral describes it as "sequence contains ITS1". The record is from RNAcentral. Lineage: Eukaryota; Fungi; Ascomycota.